AACGAACGUUGGCGGCGUGGAUUAGGCAUGCAAGUCGAACGCGAAAGGGGAGCUUGCUCCCUGAGUAGAGUGGCGAACGGGUGAGUAUCGCGUGGGAAAUCUGCCCUGAAGCGGGGAAUAACACUCCCAACGGGGUGCUAAUACCGCAUGACAUCGCCGGGUGGCAUCACCUGGCGAUCAAAGAUGGGGACCGCAAGGCCUGUCACUUCAGGAUGAUCCCGCGUCCGAUUAGCUUGUUGGUAGGGUAACGGCCUACCAAGGCAACGAUCGGUAGCUGGUCUGAGAGGAUGGUCAGCCACACUGGGACUGAGAUACGGCCCAGACUCCUACGGGAGGCAG
RNAcentral lists this ribosomal RNA (339 nucleotides) under uncultured Latescibacterota bacterium. Its description in RNAcentral is "bacterial SSU rRNA". It matches the Rfam family "Bacterial small subunit ribosomal RNA", at positions 29 to 351 of the family's 1533-position model. The record is from RNAcentral. Lineage: Bacteria; Pseudomonadati; Candidatus Latescibacterota.